RNAcentral lists this ribosomal RNA (1049 nucleotides) under Salmonella enterica subsp. enterica serovar Oranienburg. Its description in RNAcentral is "partial 23S ribosomal RNA". It matches the Rfam family "Bacterial large subunit ribosomal RNA", at positions 711 to 1757 of the family's 2925-position model. Lineage: Bacteria; Pseudomonadati; Pseudomonadota; Gammaproteobacteria; Enterobacterales; Enterobacteriaceae. The record is from RNAcentral.
AGACCCGAAACCCGGUGAUCUAGCCAUGGGCAGGUUGAAGGUUGGGUAACACUAACUGGAGGACCGAACCGACUAAUGUUGAAAAAUUAGCGGAUGACCUGUGGCUGGGGGUGAAAGGCCAAUCAAACCGGGAGAUAGCUGGUUCUCCCCGAAAGCUAUUUAGGUAGCGCCUCGUGAAUUCAUCUCCGGGGGUAGAGCACUGUUUCGGCUAGGGGGCCAUCCCGGCUUACCAACCCGAUGCAAACUGCGAAUACCGGAGAAUGUUAUCACGGGAGACACACGGCGGGUGCUAACGUCCGUCGUGAAGAGGGAAACAACCCAGACCGCCAGCUAAGGUCCCAAAGUCAUGGUUAAGUGGGAAACGAUGUGGGAAGGCCCAGACAGCCAGGAUGUUGGCUUAGAAGCAGCCAUCAUUUAAAGAAAGCGUAAUAGCUCACUGGUCGAGUCGGCCUGCGCGGAAGAUGUAACGGGGCUAAACCAUGCACCGAAGCUGCGGCAGCGACGCUGAUGCGUUGUUGGGUAGGGGAGCGUUCUGUAAGCCUGUGAAGGUGGCCUGUGAGGGUUGCUGGAGGUAUCAGAAGUGCGAAUGCUGACAUAAGUAACGAUAAAGCGGGUGAAAAGCCCGCUCGCCGGAAGACCAAGGGUUCCUGUCCAACGUUAAUCGGGGCAGGGUGAGUCGACCCCUAAGGCGAGGCCGAAAGGCGUAGUCGAUGGGAAACGGGUUAAUAUUCCCGUACUUGGUGUUACUGCGAAGGGGGGACGGAGAAGGCUAUGUUGGCCGGGCGACGGUUGUCCCGGUUUAAGCGUGUAGGUGUGUGUUCCAGGUAAAUCCGGUUCACUUUAACACUGAGGCGUGACGACGAGGCACUACGGUGCUGAAGCAACAAAUGCCCUGCUUCCAGGAAAAGCCUCUAAGCAUCAGGUAACAUCAAAUCGUACCCCAAACCGACACAGGUGGUCAGGUAGAGAAUACCAAGGCGCUUGAGAGAACUCGGGUGAAGGAACUAGGCAAAAUGGUGCCGUAACUUCGGGAGAAGGCACGCUGACAU